AUCGUAAGGUAACAGGCGCUACAGACCGUCAAAUGUUGCCGUGGUGUGAAGUAUCAAAAUAGUAAGAUGACUUAUCUCCCUUGCUUGAUGACGUCAAAAGAGACCAGCCUGACGCAAAUGUGUAUUUGUUUAUACUAACAACUGCGGGUUUUAGCCGUCAAAAUGUUCAAUGUGCUUACAUUCAACUGUAAUGUAGCAAGUCAGGUAUUUCUAUAUACUUUUGUCUAAAUGAUCCAACGUUCAGAAAGACUUGGGUGUGAAAUCUACACCGAGAACACAGAACUCGAAGUUGUUUGACAAUCAUUUUACGCGAUUACGGGGGUUGAUGAGGAUCAGUUUCGUUAUUGUAUUCACUCUACUUUGGCAAAAACUAAUGGGUUUAUGAAAUUAAAUCUUCGACCAGAUGCAGUUCUAACUAUUUUCGACUAGGCUACAAACCAACGGCAAGCACGGCGAAGACGAGAAAAUCGUGCAAAACGUUGACUGUACUGUAGGCCUAUAUAAUAACGGUAGACUACAUGUUCACUCAGGGCUCGCGCUGCCCAUCGCAUUUUGCGAUUUUUCAGAAAAAAAUGCAACAGAAAUUCCGGAAAUGUGACACGGACAUUUCGUAUUUUAGUAUUCGCGCGCCAUUUUGAAUUUCAGCUGUUGGCAUCCAAACAGCCUCAGGGCUGUUUUACCUGUGCAGAAUGUGGAUACCCUGUCGCAUGGGAACAAUAAGACUUAGAGGCGUCUUGUUUAUUUAGCAGUUUACACAAAACAAAGGGUUGAUCCUCUAUGUGCAGACUUCAUGAAGUUCUUUCUCCUCUAUAUGAUGAGAUUCACCAAAGGACCACUUUGUCAUUCUGGAUUUCAAGAUGAAAACAGGAUUCUUCAGUGAAAAUGUGAUGUGAAACUAUGAUCUUGUGUUAUGUAUUACAGUAAUUAAUAUUCAGUAACUUUGUCAUCAGUGACUUUUUCUAGACUGCAAAUUUAAUGAGUAAUAUAUGUCAUUUACACUACUAAAAUGAUUAAUAAACAUUUAGAAACUCA
Molecule: long non-coding RNA, 1032 nt
Organism: Ostrea edulis (European flat oyster)
Lineage: Eukaryota; Metazoa; Mollusca; Bivalvia; Ostreida; Ostreidae
Exons: 2
Source: RefSeq, a predicted model, not a curated record